GAUCCCAGCUGCGUGAGAGCAUUUGCUCCCUGAACCGAGUUGUCUUGCUGCUGUCUCUUCUCACAACCUCGCCGGAAGUAUAAGAAGAGAGCAAGCAGAUUUGAACCUAUCUGCUUUCAAGCUGGUCAUCACGAUGAAACUUAGACACAAAAAUAAAAAGCCAGGUAAAAGUUCAAAGGGCCACAAGAAGCCUGCAAAGCAAAAUGGGAAGAAAGCAACCUCCGAAGUGCCUUCUGCACCUCAUUUGGUUCACUCCAAUGAUCAUGCCAAUCGAGAGGCUGAUUUAAAGAAGAAGAGGGUUGAGGAGAUGAGGGAGAUGCAGCAAGCUGCCUGGGAGCAAGAAAGACAAAAACGCAGGACCGUCGAGAGCUACUGUCAGGAUGUCCUGAGAUGCCAGGAAGAGUUUGUGCGUAAGGGGGAAGUUUUACAGGAAUUAAAUAUGUUUUCUCGGCUGGAUGACGAGGUCACAAGGAAUGCUUAUUACAAGGAGUUCCAUGAAGUGGUGGAAUACUCUGAUGUGAUUCUGGAAGUCCUGGAUGCCAGAGGUCCAUUAGGCUGCCACUGCUUCCAAAUAGAGGAGGCUGUCUUGCGAGCACAAGGCAGCAAGAAGCAGCUGGUCCUUGUCUUGAACAAGAUUGACCUGGUCCCCAAGGAGGCUGUGGAGAAAUGGCUGGAUUACCUUCGGAAAGAGUUGCCAGCUGUGGCUUUCAAGGCCAGUACCCAGCAUCAGGUCAAAAACCUGAAUCAUUGCAGUGUACCAGUACACCAGGCCUCUGAGUCACUGCUGAAAAGCAAAGCCUGCUUUGGAGCUGAAAAACCUCACGAGGGUUCUGGAGAACUAUUGCCGCCUUGGUGAAGUGCGUACGCACAUUCAUGUGAGCAUUGUGGGUCUUCCCAAUGUUGGGAAGAGCAGCCUGAUUAACAGCCAGAAGCGCUGCCGUGCAUGCAGCGUGGGAGCAGUUCUGGGAUCACCAGAUUCAUGUAGGAAGUCUACCUGGGCAAGUUCAUCCGGCUGCUGGAUGCUGCAGGCAUUGUCCCAGGGCCCAACUCAGAGGUGGGCAAUAAUAUCCUGCGUAACUGCGUCCACGUGCAGAAGCUGGCAGACCCUGUGACCCCGGUGGGAACCAUCUUGCAGCACUGCAACCUGGAGGAGAUUUCCAACUACUACCGUGUGUCUGGGUUACAGACCACUGAGCACUUUCUCAUGGCAGUGGUGCACCGUUUGGGGAAGAAGAAGGGAGUCUUACACAGUCAGGAACAGGUGGCCGAAGCUGUCCUAGCUGACUGGGUCAGUGGGAAAAUCAGCUUCUAUAUGCCACCACCACCUACUCACACUCUGCUGGCCCAUCUCAGUGCUGAGAUUGUUAAGGAAAUGACUGUGGUCUUUGACAUCAAGGAUACUGAUAUAAAAGUAUGUGUGUAUUAUAAUAGAUGCAGCAUUAUAGUUUAUAUGUAUUUAAUACAUGAUAUGUGCAACAUUAUUUCUUUUGGAAAGAUUUUCCUGACUCCAGAUUAUAUCAUGCCCGUUUUUGUUUGUUUUCUUUGA
This is a non-coding RNA of Saimiri boliviensis boliviensis (Bolivian squirrel monkey), 1546 nucleotides long. The record is from RefSeq and is a predicted model, not a curated record. Lineage: Eukaryota; Metazoa; Chordata; Mammalia; Primates; Cebidae.